RNAcentral lists this ribosomal RNA (253 nucleotides) under uncultured bacterium. RNAcentral describes it as "partial 16S ribosomal RNA". It matches the Rfam family "Bacterial small subunit ribosomal RNA", at positions 524 to 776 of the family's 1533-position model. The record is from RNAcentral.
UACGGAGGGUGCAAGCGUUAAUCGGAAUUACUGGGCGUAAAGCGCGCGUAGGCGGUUUGUUAAGCUAGUUGUGAAAGCCCAGGGCUCAACCUUGGAAUUGCAAUUAGAACUGGCAAGCUAGAGUGCAGCAGAGGAUAGUGGAAUUUCUAGUGUAGCGGUGAAAUGCGUAGAUAUUAGAAGGAACACCAGUGGCGAAGGCGACUGUCUGGGCUGACACUGACGCUGAGGUGCGAAAGCGUGGGGAGCAAACAGG